This 329-nucleotide long non-coding RNA is filed under the name Mytilus galloprovincialis (Mediterranean mussel). Lineage: Eukaryota; Metazoa; Mollusca; Bivalvia; Mytilida; Mytilidae. The record is from RNAcentral.
AUAUAGGUAUUAAACUGUUUAUUCUUCAUUAGUUUGAUUAGUGGGUCUUUUUCUUAACUAGAUUACUCUCCUAUGCAUUUGAGCGACGAGUUUACAUAUCUUUAUUUAUCAGCAUAUAAACUAUUCUCCAUCAGUUGGGCGAUUGUGCAAUGGAGCGAGAUGUCUUUAAUUCCAGUGUAUGAUACAGACAAGUAAGUUUAUAUUGAAUGUGAUAUGCAAUAUGAUGCAGUUAGUAUAUUUAAUUUUAUUAAGUCAUAUUUGGUAUUGACCAGUUAUUUUGGUGAACAGUUAGGUUGACAUUGUUUUAAGCGAUACAUUUGGCUAAAUUU